Molecule: small RNA, 411 nt
Filed under: Mycoplasmoides pneumoniae M129
Lineage: Bacteria; Bacillati; Mycoplasmatota; Mycoplasmoidales; Mycoplasmoidaceae
Description: Mycoplasma pneumoniae M129 ncRNA
Source: RNAcentral
GUACAAAUUACAUUUUCCCUGUUUGUUGUAGUACUUUGUUGUGGUUGAAAGUUAAUUCUUAAUUGAUUUCGUUAGUUUAAUAAGUAAUUUAGUUAGCUUAUUUCUCAACUAAAUUGAAAGCAACUAAAAAAAAUUCGCUUCAAAACAAAAGCGUUUUUGCUGGCUUUUUGUACCACUACUGUAACUUUAGGCGCAUUUUUAUUUCCUACAUUAACUCAAAAAGGUUCUAGUGCUGACAUUAAUACUUUAGCACUACACAAUAAAAGUUUAGCUAGAGCCCAUAAUGACAGCUACUUGGUCAAUCUUGCUAACGCAUCUACUUUUAGUGAGGAAGAGUUAGCUGUAAUAGCGAAAAAUAAGGAUUGAAAGCACAACUUUGAACAAUUUGAAAAGGACUUUGUCAAACAAGCU